Octopus bimaculoides (California two-spot octopus) is the source of this 3438-nucleotide long non-coding RNA. The record is from RefSeq and is a predicted model, not a curated record. NCBI's taxonomy places the organism in Eukaryota, Metazoa, Mollusca, Cephalopoda, Octopoda, Octopodidae.
ACUACCGUUCAAGUUUGUUUACAUUUUACAUAGAAAGGCUGUUAGUUGUGUGAUUUUUAUCCCUGGUCCAGCAAACCUAUGGUCAAAGUUGUUCCGACCAUGACGACUUUUUUUCUUUCAGGCAUAAGAAUUGGACAGUUAUUUUACCUUAUGGAUUGUUAUUUGAAUAUGAAUGAAAUUUCACACAUGAAUAAAAGCUACCCAUCUCUGGUCUACAGCAAUUUAAUCUGGCAAAAAAUUUAAACCAAAGAUGAAUCGUUAUAAAAGCAAGGAAACCCCAAGAAAAAUUUAGUUUAGUCACCAGUCGGUGACGACUCAACCAGUUAGUCACCAGUAGGUGACGACUCAAUGAGAACAAAGUCUGGCUGAUCAGCUACAAUCUUGGCCAGAGAGAGAAAUGAAGUUUACAGUCAGCAACUGUGAGACAACGUCCCAAACCCUACAACUUCCACUAGCUCUAAUUCUGUUCUCUUACAACACCACUAUCUCUCUCUGUGGAUUACUACUAAAUGAAGAGGAAAUAAAUGCAAGCUUUACUUCGCAUGUUUAUGGAUCUAUUAUAACCUGCCUGUCGUGGUAAAGUAUUGUAACGUAACAGUAAAUAAAUAUUUUCUUAAAACUUCAUGCAUUGUUCAUCUUUCCCAUCUUACAACAUGCAAUUAUAACAAAUCAAUUUCCCUCAUUACAACUGGUGACCCUCGACUUCAACUAAAAACUUUAUCGUUACAAACUGGCAAUCACGACGUUGCACCAUAACUCAUCGCUACACAAAUUAAAAUACAACCGUUACAAUUGGUGACCCCAAACAAAAGAAUUGCAGCCUUCACAAGAACCCAAUCAUUACAAUUGGUGACCCCGUGAAAAAAGAGAAUCACUGCCUUCUGAAGCUGCAUUACCAACAAAUUGGUGACCUUGUAAAAAAAGAAUUGCUACCUUCUGAAACUGCAUUACCAACAGUCACAACUGUUAACCCCAAGCGAAAGAAUUGCUACCUUCUGCAUUUUUGCUGAUUCGAACUAAAGAACUACAGUCGCUGAACCAAAGAAAAUUAAUGACAACCUUCAUCACCACCAAGAUGCACCCUCCAUCGACCUGCUACAGAAAGCACUAUACUGCGAUGCAAUCUACGAUGCACUUCACAACAAUGCAACACUGCCGAAACAUAAGGUAUUCGCCAACCAUGAAAGCCUAUAAGCGCAACAUUUUGACAGCUACAUGCCAGAAACUAACUGGAAGAAAAUACGGAAGCCCGCACAUGCAACCUUUUCGGCACACACACGCUUUUCAUCUCGUCCCGAUGUACAAACUUUGCAUUGUCAAUGAAUUUUUGCACGUACAUAAAUAAGACUCUCACAUAGACUUUCAACAACUCUUUUUCUUUGCAUGCACAUUUUCUUUUCACUUUCAGCAGUAGACUUUUCACAAGGGACGCUAUUUUCAGCUAAGUUUGUUAGUUUUGCUUAUCUUAUUAUUCUGUUUGCACUGCACACUUUCAUUUCUUGACGAGUUACAUAUACCACAAAGCACAUUCCGCGAUGCACACAUUCCCCGAGGCAAAUACCGCGAAGCACAUUCCACGGUGCACACAUUUCGCGAUGUACACGCGAUGCACAAGUUCUGCGACGACUUGUUUCACUAAGAUGGCCAAAUUCAUGUGCAUAUCUUUUUCAAUGUACUAUGUUAUUAUUCACAUUUUGCAUGUAUAUAUACGUUUUUCUCGUUCACUUUGAAAAUGUAUUGUUGCGUGCACACACGCAUGCACCUUUCCUCAGUGCCUGGCCUUGCACACAUGGUUCAUACAUACACAAAUGCUAUCUCUGUCACAUUCAUGCACCACACAUACCUUUCUCGUUUAUUUUCCAUGCUCAAUGCACCCUUGUAGACACAACUCGUCUCUGUAAGACUCUAUGUCGGUCACGCAUACAUAGAGAAAGUUGUUUGACCCUUACAACGUGCCAGCAUGACACACUUUUGUUCCUACACGAUCGAGGCUUAUAAUACCUCAUGCACCGACUGGCAGCCUCAGCCUUACUGCAUUAAUCACUGGCAUAUUCAAUACUGUACACUGUAUUUGUAAUCAAUGCACUAGCAUUAGCCUCAGCCUUGCAAGCUCUAUUGCACUCAUGCACUUGCAUCUGUAUUAUGCAUCUACUGCCUUGUUUUGCAACAUGUCUGCAUCACCUCGAUUCCAAUCCCGACUCAAAGCACGCUGGAUGUUCACAUGCUCUGCGCUCAUGUUUAGACAUACUUUCCUCCAUUAGACCCCUGUUUGGUCAUGUAAUUAACAGAGAAAAUGAUCUGUCUUGCGCAUCACUUCAGAAUGCUUACACUGUUGCCCUUGCUAACUCAGCAAUUAACCACGACAACAGCACCAGACGCAUUUCACUUUGGGCAUUUCACCUUGAAGGCAUUUCACACACUGCAACCCUGCAGGAGGAUCUUUCAUAUCACGGAUUGAGAAUGCACUCACUUGCUCAUCUGAGCUUAUUUUUCAGUCAAUUGCGAAACGUGCACCUGCACUCCUGUAUACGCCCUCACGUGCACACACGCACCCAUUUGCUGUACUGCCCAGUCACUGACUGCACACAUUUUAGCACGCAAAGUGACACUGUCCCGUAUACACUUCAACGAUCCUCUCUCCUGAUAUGCGAAAUUUCUCCUCAACCAUACAUUAUUUUUUGUCUCCUUUGUUCGUUCGUUUCCCUUCCAGGAACCUCACUGGCGAGGAGAGUGAUGUAAUGGAUCUUGCAUGCAUGAAGUGGAUUUGAUCCACUAUAGCUAAAUUUAAAUUAACACUGCAACAGAACUUUUCCCACAGUGGAACAAUGGUUUUUCUCUGACAACGAUUUUAUAUUUUCCAGAUGCCUUUAGCUAGACCGAAAUAAUGUCUUCACCACUUGACCCUUCCUAACCUCUUCUACUCCACUAAAAGCUAGAAUAGAGAUAACCAGACCACCAACUAAAACAAUUGUUCUCAAUAAUAUAUCUAUCCUUCUGGAUUGUUAUAAAAGCAAGGAAACCUCAAGAAAAAUUUAGUCUAGUCACCAGUCGGUGACGACUCAACCAGUCCAGUCACAUGGUGAUGACUCAGUGAGAACGAAGUCUGGCUGACCAGCUACAACCUUGGCCAGAGCGAGAAGGAAGGUUACAACCAGCCAACUAUGAGACACAACCUCCCUCGACUCUAUAACUUUCACUAGCUCACUUUCUUUUCUCUGUAACAUUACCAUAUCUCUGUCUAUAUACUGCUACAAGAUCGUGUACACACAUAUACAGGCCGAAAUUAAUUUUCUUCACCUUGCAUGCUUUACGAACUGUGUUAUACUAUUACACUAACCUACCCGUCAUGGUAUGGCAUUUAUUAAAGUAACGAUAAAUAUUUCUUUACAACUUCGAUCACUGUUCUUCGUUCAUUUUACAACCGUUACACUGGCAACC